RNAcentral lists this ribosomal RNA (804 nucleotides) under Enterococcus sp. BPCP7. Its description in RNAcentral is "bacterial SSU rRNA". It matches the Rfam family "Bacterial small subunit ribosomal RNA", at positions 50 to 826 of the family's 1533-position model. Lineage: Bacteria; Bacillati; Bacillota; Bacilli; Lactobacillales; Enterococcaceae. The record is from RNAcentral.
GAUACAUGCAAGUCGAACGCUUUUUCUUUCACCGGAGCUUGCUCCACCGAAAGAAAAAGAGUGGCGAACGGGUGAGUAACACGUGGGUAACCUGCCCAUCAGAAGGGGAUAACACUUGGAAACAGGUGCUAAUACCGUAUAACAAGUAAAACCGCAUGGUUUUACUUUGAAAGGCGCUUUUGCGUCACUGAUGGAUGGACCCGCGGUGCAUUAGCUAGUUGGUGAGGUAACGGCUCACCAAGGCAACGAUGCAUAGCCGACCUGAGAGGGUGAUCGGCCACAUUGGGACUGAGACACGGCCCAAACUCCUACGGGAGGCAGCAGUAGGGAAUCUUCGGCAAUGGACGAAAGUCUGACCGAGCAACGCCGCGUGAGUGAAGAAGGUUUUCGGAUCGUAAAACUCUGUUGUUAGAGAAGAACAAGGAUGAGAGUAAAAUGUUCAUCCCUUGACGGUAUCUAACCAGAAAGCCACGGCUAACUACGUGCCAGCAGCCGCGGUAAUACGUAGGUGGCAAGCGUUGUCCGGAUUUAUUGGGCGUAAAGCGAGCGCAGGCGGUUUCUUAAGUCUGAUGUGAAAGCCCCCGGCUCAACCGGGGAGGGUCAUUGGAAACUGGGAAACUUGAGUGCAGAAGAGGAGAGUGGAAUUCCAUGUGUAGCGGUGAAAUGCGUAGAUAUAUGGAGGAACACCAGUGGCGAAGGCGGCUCUCUGGUCUGUAACUGACGCUGAGGCUCGAAAGCGUGGGGAGCAAACAGGAUUAGAUACCCUGGUAGUCCACGCCGUAAACGAUGAGUGCUAAGUGUUGG